GACGAACGCUGGCGGCGCGCCUAACACAUGCAAGUCGAACGGAGUUAUUUCCUUCACUCCGAGCUUUUUGCCAGUUAGCCGGAGCGGCAAUCGGUUUUGCCCAGCAUACAAAGCAAAACCGAUUUAGGCUCAUAAAGUAAGACUAACACAGAGGGCAGAGAGUUGGGAGUGAAGAAAAUAACUUAGUGGCGAACGGGUGAGUAACGCGUGAGUAACCUGCCCUGGAGUGGGGGACAACAGUUGGAAACGACUGCUAAUACCGCAUAAGCCCACGGCCCGGCAUCGGGCUGAGGGAAAAGGAUUUAUUUGCUUCAGGAUGGACUCGCGUCCAAUUAGCUAGUUGGUGAGGUAACGGCCCACCAAGGCGACGAUUGGUAGCCGGACUGAGAGGUUGAACGGCCACAUUGGGACUGAGACACGGCCCAGACUCCUACGGGAGGCAGCAGUGGGGGAUAGUUGCGACAAUGGGGGAAACCUGAUGCAGCGACGCCGCGUGGAGGAAGAAGG
Molecule: ribosomal RNA, 507 nt
Filed under: uncultured bacterium
Lineage: Bacteria
Description: bacterial SSU rRNA
Rfam family: Bacterial small subunit ribosomal RNA
Source: RNAcentral